Molecule: long non-coding RNA, 949 nt
Organism: Mustela lutreola (European mink)
Lineage: Eukaryota; Metazoa; Chordata; Mammalia; Carnivora; Mustelidae
Exons: 2
Source: RefSeq, a predicted model, not a curated record
GGCGUAAUUGAAAAUGGCGGCUCGCGGAAGGGAAUGGUGGGAGGGGUCGAGAAGUGGCGUGACCGCAGAAAUCCUGAGCAGGUGGUAGCCGGAGCCUUGGCUGGCUGACCUGGAGGCUGAGGCCAAGUGGAGAUUCCUGUAAGCAGGUGCCCCAGACCACUCUGCGCUUUGAGCCGGACUUAACUGUCCUGGACUGUUAAACUGGAGGAGUGUCCGGCCGCUUGGGACCCAGAACACCUGCGUUCCAACCUUCAGGGACCCCAGAGACUACUUCAUUAUUCCGAACCACCUCUUAGUAAUGUAGGAAGAGCUUUUAGCUGCCCACUGUACAUAACGAUGCUUCCUUAUGUUAUCCAGCUAAAAGAAGUCAUGACCAUAAGGGAAAAUACCACAGAAGGGUCACUGGAGAAAAACUAAGUGAGGAGGGUCCACAAAUACUUAUUGAUUAGGUAAUUCGUUUGUCCAGGCCCACGCUCACCUCCACCCUCACCUCCAGGCUGAUCUCGCCUAUCUCAGAAACCCUAAUUUUACUGAGUCUGUAUCACACCAACCAACAAGUAGGUAGGUACUCUGCUAUGUUGCUUUUCUCCCUGUGGUUAUUGAUUGUUCCUUUCAUCUCCAGCUCAUUAGCUCCUCGAGGAAAGACUGGGCACUUCGUAAGCAUGGCUGAUUCCCUCUGGGCAUCUCCUCCGACAAACCUUCCAACAGGUUGUUAUUCUGGUUUUGUUUGGAUACAAUUCCAAGAAGAGGCUGGUCUGUGAAGCUUCUAACUGUACUGACGUUGAUACUGUACUUUGACCUGGUAAAAGGAACUCUAUAUUGGGUCAACAAGAAAGACUUACCUCAAGGCUGGCAGCAGAAACUGUUUAUAAGGAGAAACAUUCAUAUUUAUACACAAAGAUCUUUCAUUUAUUUAGCUCGAACUAAAUAAAAUAUUUUUAUUCUCAAA